Long non-coding RNA from Asparagus officinalis (garden asparagus), 813 nucleotides. RefSeq lists it as uncharacterized. The record is from RefSeq and is a predicted model, not a curated record. Lineage: Eukaryota; Viridiplantae; Streptophyta; Magnoliopsida; Asparagales; Asparagaceae. The transcript is spliced from 2 exons.
CGCCGAACCCCUGCUGCCUCCUCCCUCCCUCGAUCCGUCGCCGAAACCCUAAUUUCUCUCCCCUCUCUCGAUCAACCACGACCGCCAUGGCCGCGUAACCCCUACUGCCUCCGCCCUCUCUCGAUCCGCCGCCGAACCCCGACCAACCACGCCUGUGGUGACAGAGUGCACCAAAAACCUAAUUUCUCCCCACUCUCUCGACCAACCACGACGGCCACGAAGGUUAUCCAUGACAAGAAAGAGUUUUUAUGUUGUGAAGAGAGGUCGACGAUGUGGUAUUUUUUAUAAUUGGGAGGAAUGCAAAUCUCAGGCAGAUAAAUUCCCAAAUGCCUCCUACAAAGGGUAUGCAAGGUACGAAGAGGCUUUGAUUGAAUGGGAGAAGCACACACUCGCUCGUGAUUCAGCAUCCAGCUCGAGGCAUGUCCAAACAUCUGUUUAUGCUCAAGAACAAAGAUAUUCAGUGAGGCAAAAUCUGGAUGAGGACAAUGAAAAACUUGGGGCAACGGCUAGUUUCUCCAUCAAUGCUUUUGUAUUAGGUUCAUUGUUUACAAUAGUAGUGUUUCUCGUAUGUAUCGUUGCGGUAUUUGUUUGUUUCUCCAUUGCAAAAAACAUGUGAUGUUAUCUUUUCAUUUUUGGUUUCUCUGGUGUUUUAGCUGGGGCUCGUAUUGUCUGUUGUUGUCGAGUCUUGUAUCUAGUUUGGCGUCAGUGAUGUUUAGUGUCUGAGUCUAUUGAGGUUGCUUUUACUGGCUGAAGUUAUGGCAUUGUAAUCUUUGUGACCUUUUCUAAAUAUUAGUGAAAUAAUUCCUUUGUUCU